This 447-nucleotide ribosomal RNA is filed under the name uncultured bacterium. Its description in RNAcentral is "bacterial SSU rRNA". It matches the Rfam family "Bacterial small subunit ribosomal RNA", at positions 355 to 825 of the family's 1533-position model. The record is from RNAcentral.
UCGGGAAUUUUGGGCAAUGGGCGAAAGCCUGACCCAGCAACGCCGCGUGAAGGAUGAAGUAUUUCGGUAUGUAAACUUCGUAAGAAUAGGAAGAAUAAAUGACGGUACUAUUUGUAAGGUCCGGCUAACUACGUGCCAGCAGCCGCGGUAAUACGUAGGGACCAAGCGUUGUUCGGAUUUACUGGGCGUAAAGGGCGCGUAGGCGGCAAUUCAAGUCAUCUGUGAAAUCUCCGGGCUUAACUCGGAACGGUCAGAUGAUACUGCUUUGCUAGAGUGCAGAAGGGGCAAUCGGAAUUCUUGGUGUAGCGGUGAAAUGCGUAGAUAUCAAGAGGAACACCUGAGGUGAAGACGGGUUGCUGGGCUGACACUGACGCUGAGGCGCGAAAGCCAGGGGAGCAAACGGGAUUAGAUACCCUAGUAGUCCCUGAGCGGGCUGGCAAGGCGCAU